Molecule: long non-coding RNA, 422 nt
Filed under: Gossypium barbadense (sea-island cotton)
Lineage: Eukaryota; Viridiplantae; Streptophyta; Magnoliopsida; Malvales; Malvaceae
Description: long non-coding RNA (GBAR_LNC012321)
Source: RNAcentral
UCAUGCUUCACUAUCCAAUUUACAUAUACACAAACCAUACAUCAUAACACUACAGUCUCCAUAUCUAUUUAAUAUCCAAUUUUCAAAUCAAAACAGUAUAUCUCAAAACCAUGUUUCUUAUUUCAUAUUUCUCAUGUUCGAAUCAUAGAACCACAAGGUCAUAUAACGAGCACAUAUAACACACAUUCAUUUGUAUACAUUUCUUUCAUUCAUGAUAAUAUAUUUCACAUAUCGUCAUUAGAAACAUAUUCACCUUCCAUUUCCGAAUUUCAUAUACAAUUCACACGUACCAGAAUCAUAUAUGGCAAACACAAUUACCAUUUCACAUUUCUCAUAUAAUUCAUUUAAUUAUAGUUCACUUGCUAUUAACCACAUCUCAUUUUCACAUAGAUCAUAAUCAUACUCACUUUCAUUGCUCAAUU